AGUGAACGCUGGCGGUAGGCCUAACACAUGCAAGUCGAACGGCAGCACAGUAAGAGCUUGCUCUUACGGGUGGCGAGUGGCGGACGGGUGAGGAAUACAUCGGAAUCUACUUUUUCGUGGGGGAUAACGUAGGGAAACUUACGCUAAUACCGCAUACGACCUACGGGUGAAAGCAGGGGAUCUUCGGACCUUGCGCGAUUGAAUGAGCCGAUGUCGGAUUAGCUAGUUGGCGGGGUAAAGGCCCACCAAGGCGACGAUCCGUAGCUGGUCUGAGAGGAUGAUCAGCCACAGUGGAACUGAGACACGGUGCAGACUCCUACGUGAGGCAGCAGUGGGGAAUAUUGGACAAUGGGCGCAAGCCUGAUCCAGCCAUACCGCGUGGGUGAAGAAGGCCUUCGGGUUGUAAAGCCCUUUUGUUGGGAAAGAAAAGCAGCAGGUUAAUACCCCGCUGUUCUGACGGUACCCAAAGAAUAAGCACCGGCUAACUUCGU
Molecule: ribosomal RNA, 491 nt
Filed under: uncultured bacterium
Lineage: Bacteria
Description: partial 16S ribosomal RNA
Rfam family: Bacterial small subunit ribosomal RNA
Source: RNAcentral